GCGGUGGUGUGUCAACGGUAGACGGCGAGGAUGCCAUCCUCGUAAUGGGGGUUCGAUUCCCCCUCACCGCA
Molecule: transfer RNA, 71 nt
Filed under: Minicystis rosea
Lineage: Bacteria; Pseudomonadati; Myxococcota; Polyangiales; Polyangiaceae
Description: tRNA-Gly
Rfam family: tRNA
About the family: Transfer RNA (tRNA) molecules are approximately 80 nucleotides in length. Their secondary structure includes four short double-helical elements and three loops (D, anti-codon, and T loops).
Source: RNAcentral